UUAAAAAUGGUUUUGAAUGAAUGAUGAAAUUAAAAGAAAGCAGAUCAACCAUGAGUAUAAUAAAAACAUAAACAUAAAAUAAAAUGCUAAAAGAAAAUAAAAUGCAAAUGCUGAAAGAAAUAAAACGCUCAAUACGGGUAUCGAACCCACUACACUAAAGACCAUAGAAACCACCCCUCUCCACCAGACCACUCAUGACUAGUUAUUAUUUUGAUG
This 216-nucleotide long non-coding RNA is filed under the name Lathyrus oleraceus (garden pea). RNAcentral's name for it is "Pisum sativum (pea) long non-coding RNA (PSAT_LNC007350)". The record is from RNAcentral. Lineage: Eukaryota; Viridiplantae; Streptophyta; Magnoliopsida; Fabales; Fabaceae.